RNAcentral lists this long non-coding RNA (17429 nucleotides) under Olea europaea subsp. europaea. Lineage: Eukaryota; Viridiplantae; Streptophyta; Magnoliopsida; Lamiales; Oleaceae. The record is from RNAcentral.
GCUGUUUCUAAGCCCCUUUGAGCUGGAUGAUUUUGUGGCAUCUGUGAAAUGUAACUAUUCUACAUUAUUGUUUGAUUCCAUUCAUGUUUCCCUUUUGCAAACAUUACGGAAGCAUUUGAUGUCGCUUUCCAAUGAAGGUGACAUGUCCUCAUCUAAUUGUCUCAGGUAUUUAGUUUACUUUCAUUCCAAAAGUUAUGCAUUUGACAUCCCCUUCCUUGGCUCUUAUUCUUUUCUAUUCAAUUUGUUAAUUAGGUCUCUUAAUUGGGAUUUGCUGGACUUGAUCACAUGGCCCAUGUUUGCGGUUGAGUAUCUGUUGCUGUACAGUUCUGAAUACAUACCUGGCUUUGAUCUGUGUCACUUGAAGCUUUCUCAGAGCGACUAUUACAAAAUACCUGUGUCGACAAAGAUUGAGAUACUGCAGCGCCUUUGUGAUGAUGCGAUGGAAGUAGAAUCCAUCAGGUUAGAGAUAAAUAGAAGGACACUGGCAACAGAACGCCAAGGGGGUUUUGUUCGGACUACGAAGUCUGACAGCUCCAAGAAAAGAAAGGCUAUGAUGGAUGUUGCUAGCAGUUCUUGCAUCACAGAGGAGGAUGUUGAAGAAACUGCAGAUUGGAACAGUGAUGAAUGCCGCCUAUGUAAGAUGGAUGGAAACUUAAUAUGUUGUGACGGUUGUCCUGCGGCAUUUCAUUCCAGGUGCGUAGGAGUUGUCAGCAGCCUGUUGCCAGAGGGGGAUUGGUAUUGCCCUGAAUGUGCAAUUAACAAGGAUAAGCCUUGGAUGAAAAUGGAGAAGUCUAUUCGAGGAGCAGAACUGUUGGGAAUGGAUCCUUACCACCGACAAUAUUAUAGCAGCUGUGGUUAUCUGUUGGUGUAAGUUCCUUUCUUUAUAAAAACCAAGAAAAUUACGUGAAUUUAAUUUUUGUGAAUGGUUAAUCUAUCAUUUAGGUCCAUAAACGGAAUAAUUCAUAAGUUGGUAGACAGAUCUUAUAAAUGUCUGAGUUUUGUGAUGUUUUAAUAAUCGUAAAGUUGCUGCGUCUUGCAUGGUAGUGAAAAUAUAGAAGGUAUAUAUUACAAAAUACAUUGACUUAAUGACUGAUAUUUCGAGAUCCAUUUCUAAACAGUCUAAGCAUAGCCCCUAUUUGACAACCAUUAUAAUAAUAAAUUUGGAUAAAAUGUAUUUUAGAAUAGUAAAUUUUGGAAAAAUGUGUGGUUAAAAAGAGAAGGAAAAGUUUUUGAUUUACUUGUAAUAUUAUUUAAUUAAAAAAUGUGAUUGAAAAUAAGAGAGAGAAAAAUGUAUUAAAAUUUUAAUGAGAACCAUAAAAGGGCAUACUUUUUUUUAUAAGCUCUAGCUUUUCUUAAUGCUUCGACGAUGCUGAAUCAAAGUUCAGCCUCUAUCCUUUCUGCCUAUUGCUUGGCUAAUGUGCAUGUAUACUUGAUUUCUAUGAUGCUCGGACUCUUCAGUCCGGUCGGAGUACCCGUAUCGACACGACUCGACAUGGGUAUGAGUAUGAGACAUGGGGCGGACAUGGUACUUUGCAACCGUACACAGCAUGGUGGAGAAAGCGACAGCACUAAUGGAGAAAACAUCCGAUGAAAUUCACGGCCAUGAUUGGAAAUUGAGACGCCGCUUCAUAAAUAACCUUCUUCGCCACAUUAGCAUUCGUUAAAAUCGAUGUGAAAUAUACAUACACACACACACAAAAUUGUGAAUAUCGGAGGUGAACAAGAGCGUUGCUACCAACUUACCUACUCUAUUAAAGUAAACUUGAUUUUUGCGAUGUUCAGACUCUUCAGUCCUGCCGGAGUACCCGUGUCGACUCGACACGACACAGGUACGGGUAUGAGAUAUGGGGUGGACACACUACUUUACAAUCGGACACGGCAUGGUGGAGAAAGCAGCAACACUAAUGUAGUAAACAUCCAACGAAAUUCACGGCCAUGAUUCAUCGUCAUCAACAGCGGCAGAAAAAUUUGGGGGUUUACAUGUGAGUAUUCAGGAAGUGAGAACGAAGUAAAAUGGUUGUCGCGUAAAGGGCGGAGAUAGGAGACGAUUAUGAAAAUGAGACAGCGGUGGGAAUGGAUGUAGGGUAACGUAGAGUUAAAAGGCAAACGGACAAUUUCUAGAACAGCCCACCUAACUAGCUUAAGAAAAAAGAGUGUUUAUAGGUGGAAGCACUAACUUUAAGAGUUUCAUGGGCUUCCUAUUUCUUGGCCCAUUUCUCCAAUAGCCCAACUAAUUGGGUUAAGAAAAAAGAGGCAGUCUUCUCCAAUUUAUUCCUUAAGACUAGCGGGUGCCUCUUUUCCAAUUCUCGCCAAUCAAAUCAAAAAGAGCUCUACUUUUAAAAAAAUAACUUCUAAAUACAUUCAAAUAUUAUACAAAAGUUUACUUUAUUUUAGUCCUUUUGAAGUUUCAAAGACGUACCCACAUAUCCGUGUCCGAAAUUUGGACCUUUUUUAGUCAUGUCUUCGUAUCUUACAUUUUAGAAAAUAGAAGGUUCGACACUUAUAUAUGUACCUGUACCAAGUCCGAGCAUCAUAGGUUGAUUUAGUGCUAUUGCAUUUGAAUUUGUUGGAAAAGGUUUCUGUCCAUUGCUAGUUGUGGAAGAAAGAAACAUCGAUUUCUUUUGGAUUGCGUUUGGUGAUACAUUAUCAACCUGAUGUUGGUGUUGGAUGCUCACAGUAUCCAAUAUCAUGAUGAUAGUUUCAAUUUGGUAAUCAUAAGUUGGCUUAUUAGGGUGGGCAUUAAAUGGAGGGCAUGCAUAUUUAUUUUUGCCUAUUGUGAUGGCUACAAUGCACUUGGAAGGGGAUUGAGCUAUUGCUUAUUAUAUGUUUAUUUCUUUACUGGCUGCAGUGAUCAUGACUCCUUUGGCAUGUUCUAAUUCAAACUAUAGUGGUGCAAGCCUCCUAUCCCGAACCGUAGUUUUGUUGGUUAAAAAAAAAAAAAUAAUAAUAAUAAUAAUAAAAUAAAAAAACCGUUUGGCUGUGCUUAGAAGUUAUUUUUGUAGAAUCUAGUAAUUUUUGUUAACAAAACAAGCAAGUUGGAAAAGCACAUUUGGCAAAAUAAGUAACUUUUACUUGAGCUAAACAUACUUGAGCCUUGUUCCCAAUAAAUAUGGAGUUAUCUACACGUGUCUAAUUUCACUACUCUAACUGCUCCCUGAUUGAACGAGAUUCUUUCCAGUAACAGAAGGAGACUUGGUCCAAUGCAUAAGACCAUUGUAUGGACUAUAUUUCAACAGUACAAGACUUGUCCUUACCUCGUGCAAUGAAGUGUUUAGUCCCGUUAUUAAGAAGGAGAUGAUGCCGAGAAGGAUUAAAUAGUUGAUAGCGAGCAAUCAUCUAGAAAGGUUGAAUUAUCGUUCAUAUGAAACGAGAGUAAUGAAGUACCUAUUUUUUGGAAUUUAAUAGUCAAUCUUCUUUUGUAAUUGAGUUGUAACAACUGCAAAUAUUCCCUCCCUCUUUGACUUUGAUCGAUUUACCUGCAGAAUGUGCAAUGGUCUUAAUAUUCAGUCGAAAAAAAGGAAAAUAUGCCAUUGAGUUAAAUUAAUAAAAUUUUACUUACUUAACAGGACAACAAGAAAGCCAUGACCUAUUUGAUCCUUCAGCCAUUUGGGCUUCAAUUUCAAGAGCGGAUUAGUGAUCUGACGCUUCUCUCCAUUCAUUAUUUAUUUGUUUCGUAUUUUAAUGCAACUUGUUAUAUCUACUAUUUUUUUCUUUACUGUUAUAACAACCUUGUAAUUGGGAAGAAUGCGGGAUAGUUCGUCGAGAGGAUUCAUGACUACAUAUAUCAAAAGAUCCAAUAUCAACCAAUCCUUUGCAACAUUUUAAAUUAUCUCAUCUAAAAGUUUAAGUUGUUAAAGGACAUAACACGUACUCAUGCAAGCCAUAUUCAUUUUGUAACUUGUGUGCACAACUUCUAUAUAUGGACAGUGGCAUGCCUUGAGCUUAAGAUUCCUGGCUUCUUUGAUACCAUGUUGAACCAUUUUAUAUUAGCUUAAGCUAUUAGAGAAAGACGUGUAUUCAAAUUUCGUCGCCAACACGACCACAUCACAUUAUGUUAUUUUGGUCUCGUCUUACUAAUUAUUAAUAAUAAUUUGUAAUAUUGUAGUUUACAACUACGAAAGAAAAUAACCUCCCCUUUGUCUUCAUGGUACGUUAUGUCUUGAACAUAAACACACACUAUACUUUUCAACACAUUUGUGGUCUAUUGCUUUAAACCGCCCAACUACUCUUCACUUCUUGGCCGAGUCACCCCCUCAUUUAACCUAUUUUGUGUUGAUGCCAGCUCCUAUUCGAGUUUUAGUAAAAUGUUCGCUUCUUUGUCACUAGGUUUCCAUUUGAUUUUGUUUUGGAUAAGAUGAUGGAAGAUUUAACAAGCUACGACUUGAAUACAUGAUCAAUACUUUAACAAAAUUCAUUAUAGCUUUUUAAUCUACUAGCAAACUAGACCUCAAAAGAAUAUAGAUAAAAAUUUUCUCAGAGUCUUCUCUCUUUAUAUGUUUUACCAUACACGCUAAGACUAGAAAGAAAAGAAUUGUGAUUAAAAGCAGAGCUUUAUGCUCUCAGAGUGAAGAGUUUCUCCUCUUGUUAAAAAUGUUUGCUGGAAAUUCUUCUGUAAAAAAGAGAAUACCAUUUUAGAAUUUUGAAAAUCAUUUAAUUGAAUAAAGACAACAUGUUAGCACAUGUGCACCACUUUAAUAAUAAGAGAGGGGAUAGAACACUCAAUUUCACAACUUCUGUAGUAUAUUCUAUAGUUCAUACCGAUAUAUGAAUUUAUGUUUUUAUGCAUUGCCAUCAUUACAACAACUAAUUAAGACUAUAUGAUUCUUUUUCCAUUACGCCAAUAGGUUCAUUGUUAGAUAUAUUGGGAGACAAGUUUUUUCAUCCUUAGUAACUACUACAGCCAUGUUGUUUAUCCCUUUUUUGAUUUGUUCUACCAACAUCAUCACUCUUAUAGUGGGAGCCUUUUUAAGUUCAUGCAAAGCAUGUACUAACCACUUAUGUUCCUCCUAUAUUUUAUCCUCAAUUCCAAUCGGCACUACAUCCACUGGUUGGUGCAAAAUAAUUUUUAUUGGGUAUUUAAUAUAUCUAUUCUAGUUAUGGAGUUACUAACUACUAGGGCAUUAAUUGUACAUUUUUACGUUUUAAAUGUUAAAUAACAUUAGCUUUACUCAAAAAAGAGGAAGAAAAAUUUAAAGAGAUGUCUUGAGGCGUAAUCAACUAUAGCCCCUCUUAAGCACCUAAUUUUCAAUUCACAAAAUGCCUUGACAUGUGAAGAGCAGUUAGAUGGGGCAGAAGUGUAUCAAUUAACAAAAAAAAAAAAAAAAAAAGAAGAAUGUAUUUGAGUGUAUAUUAACUUGGCAUUCCCGUCAGACCAAGAAAUAAACUGUCUAAUGUGGGACCUAUGCAUUGUUUUAAAGGAUGUUUGAGUCUUGCAUUAAACACCUCGAUGCUUAUGUCUCGAUUGCCAUUUGUCAAGGCUUACACCUCAAAUUAUUGAGAUUUACUCCUCAAGGCUAGUUUUUUCAUUAUAGGCCUAAGCUAUUUGGGCUAUUAUUUCACUAGUCUAUAUGCCUUGUACAUAAGGGAAGGAUAAGAUGUCAUUGCAAGUGGAUACUUACAAAGAAUGAAAAGGAGUUAAUUGUUCCAAUGGUCACUCAACUUAGGUCCAUAUCUUUGAUUGAUUAUUGAAAUUUAAAAUGUCGAGUUUUGAUCACUGAAUUUAGGUCAAUGUCUUUUAUUGUUCACUAAACUUAUGUCAAUGUUUUCAAUUGCUCACUGAAGUUUAAAAUGUCGAGUUUUGAUCACUGACCUUUGAAAAAUGUUGUACAUUACUCAAUGAACUUUGGAAUAUGUCGUACGUUACUCACGAGCAUAAUUGAUGAAUUAUGAAAAAUAUCGAGUUUACAGUAAGUAAUAUACAAUAUUUUUCAAAAUUCAGUGACUAAUGUACAAAAUUUUUCAAAAUUUAGUGGUCAAAACUCUACAUUUUAAAGUUCAGUGGCCAAUCAAAGACAUGGAUCUAAGUUCAGUGACCAUUGGAACAAUUAACUCAAUAAAAAGUAACUUCAAUAGUGUGAGGAGGAUGAUAAGGGGGUUCAAAUAUGUUGAUGAUUUCUCUUAAAAGUCCCAUGCAAUGAUGAUAUGAGAGACUUGUAGGUUGUUUCCUCUUAGUAGUGCACUACAAUUUUGGUACGUGAUUAUUAAGUUGAGAAUAUACUAUUUACUACUUUAUUCGUCUAUUUUAGGUUUAUCUGCAAAUUAGACUUAAUGUUGUUAAAUUUGUUUUAUUAUGGAUUUUUAAGAUGGUAUAUGGGUUGUUAUGGACAUAAAUUUUGUAUUCUCGUAUUCUUUUGAAUUGUUCUAUUGGUUUGUCUUGAUGUUGGCUUAUGCACAGCCUCACUGAGGUAAAAUUUCUCAGUACCCAAUUGAAUCUUUUUAUAUAUCAUGAUAUCAGCUGGUUAAAUAAUGCCAUUUUUGAUUGGUGGAUUCUUAGUAGCUAGCAUGGUCAACCUAAACACUAACCGCUUAGUUUAGUACUUUGAAAGAGUGCGUAAUGUAACUUGAUUCAUUUAUUGAUCUUUUAUCCAUUAACAUUGUUGUUCAUUUAGUUUUGAGCUGCUACAACUUUUAAACUGAGAGCUAGAUUGUUCUUAAAUGUGAUAUAUUUCCCUAGAUUUGAUCUACGUGCAUUAGAAGUUCUAAUUCUAGAAACCACAAAAACCGGUGUUUAUGUCAGUCACGAUCAUUAGAUUAUUUUACUCAAUCGAUCACUGCACUUCCAAAUUUUGCUGAGAAAGUUAUAUUAUGCUUUCUUUAUAUCCUCUUUCCAGUAGGCGCUGCAAUUAUCUUACAAUAAUGAACUUACCUUGUCCAUGUUUUCCAUGAAGUUCAAAUCUCUUGUUAUUAUUGGCCUUGUGAUUCUGUUUUGAUUAUUAACCUGUUAUUAAUUAACGAUGCAAUUCCUCAUUACUUUGUGUUUCUCUUUUAGUCGUAUAAUUUAUGGUGUUUUGAUCGUUUUGGCUUUGUACGUGCGUGUUGCUUUAAAUGUAUGCUGACUUCUGCAUGACGAUACUAGCAGGUCAGAGUUAUGCAAUGAUGAAUAUUCGUUUUGGUACUACCAUAAAAAUGAUUUACCCAGCAUUAUAGAUGCACUAGAGUCAUCCCCAUUUGUAUAUGGCACAAUAAUAACUGCUGUUAGUAAGCAUUGGAAUGUCACUUAUGGAGAUGAUGGGUCAAAAACUGAUUUGGAUGCUCACUCCUUCUCUAUACAAUCUCUUUUUCCUAUAAAAGGGCUGCUGCCUCAUAUGCAUCCUAUACCUUCAGAAGCACAUAUCAAGGAUGUUGCUGAAAGAAAGUCGGAAGAAAAAUCCAUCGUCUCUACUUACCCUAGUAACAUAGAACCUGGGGUUCCGGAGUGUGUCAAUAUGAUGUUGGGGACUGAUAACCAUGGUGCAAAGAUGGAAAAUCGAUUGGCAAGUUCUGAAGGAUCAGCCGAAGUCUCCCAAUCAGUGACUAACACUGAUAACAUUAAGGAAAGUGGGCAGGAUUGUUCAGAAAGAGGCACUGGUAUAUCAUCAUAUAAUUCUGAAAUUCCAUCGAAGUUUGUGAACUCUGGAAAUCAUUAUUUAACAUCUACUAUCUUAGAAAUUGAACAAAGAACGAAUCUCAUUUCUGCAAAUCAUGGCCGUGCCCCAUCCAUCAUAGAUCCUUGUGGAAUUAUGCCUCAAGGGUGUUGUGCGGCAACUUAUGUUAACUUCUAUGAAUUUGCUUGGACAACAUCAUCAGUUGUUGAAGCGUUAAUGCGUAAAUCAUCAGAAAAGACAUCUGAAAAAAUCAUAAGAUCAGAAGAAGAGGUUAUUAUCGGGCAGUUGAAGGUUAUAUCAAGUAAAUCUGCUUAUUUAUGCUGGCCGAAUAUUCAAAAUUUAAUUGCAAAGAGUAGGAAAGAAAAAUGUGGGUGGUGCUUCACUUGCCAAGGUCCUGAAGAGGAAAGGGACUGCUUAUUCAUUGUGAAUGAAAAUGGUCCUGCUGUUGAAAAUUUUACUAGUGAGGUUUUGGGUUUUCGGUCUAGAAAGAACAUGAAAAGCCAUCUUAUUGAUGUCAUGUGCCAUAUUAUUUGCACUGAAGAUCGUCUACAAGGGCUUCUGUUGGGCCCAUGGUUAGAUCCUCAAUAUUCCGAGCUUUGGCGUAAAAGCGUUCUUGGAGUGUCUGACAUUGCUUCAUUGAAAUGUUUUCUACUCAAGGUAAGAAUAUUUCCUUAUUGGAUCUCUAAGUUUAUAUACUUGUGGAUAUAUAUUUAAAUUUUUACUGAUGCUGAGGUGUUAAACUCCAAAGAUUAUUGUCUUCUUAAAGAAAUAGUCUGUCCUUUUUAAAAUGAUUGUCAGAAAGUAUCUUUCGUUCACGUGAGAGCUCAUCAUCUGGCUGUGUCUGAACAGGUAUUUUUUGACCUUGUUAACAACGCUCAGCCUUGUGAAUUAUCACAGAGAAUAAAUCUUGGUUUGCUUUGACAACUUGCAGAACUAUUUAUUAUCAAGAAUGGGAUGAUGAUAUGGUCCAAUAUAGCAAACCACAACAUAUUGUGCAGGAUCUGGGCUUGAGUUUCUUUUGAUGAGAACAAUAGCCAUAGGCUGUUCAUUUUAACUGACUUUCACAGUAGAAGUAAAAUGAUCUGUUGCAGUUGGAUAUUGUCUGAAGUUUUAAUUUGGAAACAGUGAAUUUGAUUAUAUAUACAUUGGCAACAGGUGAUAAAUUUAGAAAAAAAAAUAGUAAACGAAAAGCUUCCUUAUUAAAAAUACCUGAUGGGGUAUGCCAGCCACUCAAGUCUAGUAAAUUUCGAUAAUCUGAAAUUUUCCUUUGGCAUUUUGAGGCUCAAGGGCGUAACAAUGUUUUCAAAAGUAUACAUACAUGCACACAUCAUAAUUCCAGGAAGAUAGAUAAUGAAAUAUGCUAAUCUAUUUCUCAGCUCCAGAAAACAUUGUUGAUGGCCUUAGAAUGUAGAAAUUUUACCAUCUUAUAUUUCUAGACUACAAAAGUACAUUAAGUUUAAAUGACAAAAAACGCAUAUUCCGGAACAGAAUAAAACAUGGAUAUAAGAUGAAUCUUUGUCUUAUCUUUUCAUUUCCCUCUUUUCGGCUUUGAAACAUUUCUAUUCGUGUUUUCCCUAUUGCACUUCAUACUAGUUAUCUGAUUAUUUGCAACUUUCAACACCAGCUAGAGUCAAACUUGCAUCUUCGAGCACUUUCAGCAGAUUGGCUGAAGUACGUGGAUUCUGUUCCUACGAUGGGUUCUGCUUCUCAUGUUGUGAGAAAUUCUGUACGAGCGUCCAUGAAACAUGGAAUUGGCAGGAAGAGAGCUAGGUUUUUGGAGCUGGAUACAACUUCAUCUUCAAGUUCUGCAAAUGGAUUGAUCUUAUUUUGGUGGAGAGGUGGGAGAAUUUCACGUCAGCUGUUCAAUUGGAAGGUUCUGCCUCGCUCUUUAGCUUCCAAAGCUGCCCGACAAGGUCUGGAGUAUCUAUUCUUCUGUUUAAACUUAGAUCCUUGUGGAAAACACACUUUUCUGAAUAUGUUUGAAGUUUAAACUGUUGCAGGUGGAUGCAAGAAGAUACCAGGCAUCCUUUACCCUGAGAGUGGAGAAUACGCAAAAAGGAGUAAAUGUGUUGCCUGGCGAGCUUCUGUUGAGACAUCAAUAAGCGUGGAACAGCUUGCUUUCCAGGCAUGUCUCUCUUAUGAUUCAAUAUGCCUCCCACCUUCAUUCCAAUAUUUGCUUUCCAUUCACCUUGGCCUAAAGGCCAACCAGAUGUAAAAUGAUUGCUGGCGCCAAACUCUCUAAAGGGCCUGCCUUUUCUUUUAUUAUAUUUUAUUCACCAAGUGAUGGUCUAUGGGAAUUUAGUCUAGCUGUCAAAGAAUAUCACAUUUAUGAUACUUAAAUUUGUUUAGAUUCCUGGUCUGUACGAUGAAAACAUUCUCUGAACAGCUAUUGGCUCUACAUUUUACCCCAUCCAACAGGGGAAAGAGAUAAGAACAAAGCAAUAUGUUGCAACUUAACUAAGGGGGUGUUUGAUAUCCAUUUUCUUGUAAAAAUGCAUUUUAGAAUAAUAAAUUGAUGGGAAAUGUGUGGUUGAAAAAUAAGGAAAUUUUUUUGAUUUACGUAUAAUAUUAUUUUAAUAAAGAAUGUGUGGUUGAAAAGAAGAGAAAAAAAUGCAUUUUGAAAAAAAUGAGUACCAAACGGGGCCUAAGUUAUUUGUCGUUGACAUUUUUCAUGUGCCCAGGUCAGAGAGCUUGAUGCAAAUAUCAGAUGGGAUGACAUUGGGAACCCGAACCUUCUAUCAAAGAUGGACAAGGAGUCCAAAAAGUCAGCCAAAUUAUUCAAAAAAGUUAUUAUACGUAGAAAGUGCUCUGAGGGAUCAGUGGUUAGGUAUCUUCUUGAUUUUGGCAAGAGAAGAUUUAUCCCUGAUAUUGUUGUGAUACACGGAUCCAUGCUUGAAGAUUCCUCUAGUGAAAGGAAGAAAUAUUGGCUGGAAGAGUCUCAUGUUCCAUUGCAUCUCCUGAAAACGUUUGAAGAGAAAAGAAUUGCUCGCAAAUCAAAUAAGACAUGCUCUGGAAAACUUCGUGAGAGCAGUGUGGUAACGAAUAAAACCUUCAAGGAAAAGGGAUUUUCAUACCUUUUCUCAAGAGCAGAGAGAUUGGAAAAUUAUCAGUGUGGACACUGUAACAAAGAUGUUCUCAUCAGGUAUGAUAUGAUUAUUAAUUGUUAAUAUUGGAAUUUCUUUUAGAAAAAACAGGACUAUAUUUUUAUCAAAGAAAGGGAAAAUGAGUGGCAGUAGAUAACAAGUUGUUCUUAGACAAACAAGACCCUUCUAAUAGUUCUUAGAUUCGAAGUAAAAUCAAAAGAUAACCAAACAUAAUAUGCAGUUACUUUUGAAUAUGCAGUCUUGCUUUAUAGUUGUAGUUUUACAACAUAAGGUUUGAGUCAUUCCUUUUGAUAUUUUCUUUUGUGAGGUUAGAUAAUCUAGAUGGUUAGUUAAUUUUUAUUUUUUUUAUUUUUCUCUGUUGGACAUGUGUGUUGGUGUACCCACAUUGGCUUUCUUUAUGGUAGAUACAUGAUUUGAUAUUGGUGUGAGGUUAUUUGUGCAUGGACAAGUUUUUCCUUUUAUGUUACAAAUUAUAUGCGUAUUGGUUUAAAAGUAGUAUGUAUAUCCAUGAUUCAUUAAUUUGAAUAGUAUUAGAGAACGUUGUGGCUUAAACUGUUUAUGUUUGCUUGUGAAUCACUUUUUGGCCUCUGAAUUUGCAGUCUCAGUGAUCAGUUUUCUCUUGUCCAUUUGCAGGGAAGCAGUGAGUUGCCAGUACUGCAAAGGUAAACUUCUCUUUGUGGAAGAGUUUCUGGUUUAUGUGUUUCUUCAAUUAUCCCUAUAUUGCAAAGACAAAUCAAUUGUUGCAUUUGCCAAUCUGUCUUCAUCAUUGUUUAAUUCAGCAUGCAUGAGAAAGGAAUUCAAAGUAUUUUGAUUGUUUAAACAUGGUUCAAAUUUCUUUUAUUAGUCUACCAUCUUACUGUUUCAUCUUUUUCUUUUCAUGCUUAGUUGGUGCAAUCACAACAAAUGUUGAAAUUUUAUUUUACUUGGACCAAUUUAAACCCAUAUAUUUCUGUUUGCAAACCUGACUUUUCAAAAUUGUUAGGCAAAACUAGUUGUGUUAAAUUAAAUCAACAUAUUGAUUUGGAGUUGUGUAAUGAAAUUUCUGGACUUUCUUCAUUAUCAGAUACCAAAUAACUUUCUCCUUCUAUGUUGCCUGCAGUGUUUCUGUAGGAGUUGAUGUACAUAACUGUAAUCAUCCAAUACUUACACGAUUGAGUUGUUUAGUGUUGGCAUUCUUUUUUUUUUUUAUUUUUUAACUCGGGCACACUUGUUAAUCACAUUAAACUUGAGACCUUUAUGCUUUGCCAUGAAAUAGAGAUUAUCACAACUGUUCAUUUUCUUUAGACCACUGAAUGAUGAUUUUUUUGACGUUUUAUGCUUUGCCAUGAAUUAGAGAUUAUAUCAACUGUUCAUUUUCUUUAGACCCUGAAUGAUGAUUAGUUUGGACAGUCUUAUUGGUUUAUCAAGGCUCACUGGAAUUAUUGCUUUAUGUUCAUUUUGGAACUGAAAUUUUUCCUACCUGCAUGCAGGAAUAGUUAUAGAAUAUUGUUAAUAAAUAUAACUCUACUGUCAAUUGUAUUAAGCGUGUAUCAUUUUCUAAAAUAUUUUCCCUUAAAUAUUGAACUGUUCUUCUAGUAGUUUUCUUUUUUACGUUAGCGAUGAUCUGGAUUCGGGGGUUGGCUUGGCUUUGCUAUUGAAGGUCUGGUGGUGCUUGAUUGUGCCUUAAAAAAGUUUGUUAGUGAUUUUUAAUGUGGGUCUGAAAUUGAUGGUAGUUGAUGCUUGUGCCAACAGAAAGGUGCCAGUAGCAGUUGGGUGGUGCUGGCAGUGAUGUCAGGAAACAGUAAAAUAAGGAGAUAUAUUGGGGUUACAAAUAUAAAUUUGUAUCUUUGUGGAUUGAACUAGUUUUAAAUUUGAAAUAGUGGAUAUACUACAUGCUUGAUUCACGUGACUUCCCAUGAUUUAUGAAUUACUUCUAAAAAACACUUAAAAUAUCAACUUAUUUAUAUUUUUAUGGAUUUUCAGGCUUUUUCCAUAAAAGACAUGCAAGGAAGUCUGCUGGGUCCAUCGUCGCUCAGUGUACAUAUACAUGCCAUAAAUGUCUCGAUGGGAAGUCCAUGGAAAUGGAUACUAAGACGGGGAAGUCCAAGCCACCAAAAAGUAAGAAAGCAUCAAAAUUAUUGAAGCCGUUGGGCUUCAGAAAAGGGAAAAAGUUGGGCAAAGACAGGCAACGAGUGCAAUCCCAAAAGAAUAAAAUGGUUCAACUUCUUGUACCCCUGCGCCGUUCUGCCAGGCAUGCUAAACCUGUCGUAAAGACGUCCGUGCUGGAUACAAAGAUCAAAAGACGGAAGAAAGGGAAACAAGCUAAAUCAAAAAAAGACAAACCGAAGAAGCCAGACAAACUGAAGAAACCAAAAAAUAGUAGUUGGCAGAAGAAGAGAACGCUGGUCAAUUAUAGUUACUGGUUGAAUGGUCUUCGGUUGUCAAGAAGGUUAAAUGAUGAAAGGGUGAUGCAUUUUAGAAGUAAUUUGCUUGUCCUUAAUGGGGAGUCGACUUCCAUUGCAUGUAUGCCGAAAUGCAGCCUCUGUGGUGAAUUAGAAUUCAAAUCUGAGCUGAAUUAUGUUUCUUGUGAGAUAUGUGGAGGUAACAAGCUUUACACGUGAUUUAUCUUACUUGCACUAAAUAAACACACGUAUGCUGUGAAAGAUUAUUAUCUCUAUCUUGAAUUAACUGCUGGCUGAGAAAAAUCGUUUUAGAGUUAUUGCCUGUAUAAGAAUAACUCUUAAUAUUCAUGAUAGAUGACAGUUACAAUUUUAUAUAGUUACGUAUGCAUGACUGACGUUUGGCACAACCAGCUCAGGGAAGGCACCCAAAUUUGUCGAUAUAAUUAGUUUACUAUUAAAUUACAAAUUUUCACAAUUUGCAGAUUGGUUUCAUGGAGAUGCUUUUAAUCUCAAAGCUGAAAAAGUUGAAAAGCUCAUUGGAUUUAAGUGCCAUAAGUGUCUUUAUAAGAACCCUCCAGUUUGCCCCCAUGUUUGCUACUGAAAGCAGCCAAGCUGUGCUUUUUCCAGAAAUUAAUGUCGGGUGUGAAUGCACUGGGAAAGAAUCUACUGGUCUAUCCUUCUUGGAGAAAACAUUUACUGAUUAGAAAUUUCUGCCAAAUGAAGAAUCUAAUGAGGCGUUCUUGAUUGAUGAUGAUCAUGAGAAGCAAUCAUCCAAUUCCUGAUUCUAACCAGAUACAGGCAAGUGAUGCAAAAGCAGGACUUUAAAUACUAUUUCAGAGUAGAAAACAGCAGUUGUUAACUUCAGCGAGGAAGGAAGACCUCUUGAUGAAUUGGUACCAACAGGAGAAGACCUUGCUGGAAGCUGACCAGGGGAAGAAGCCAUGUUUACAUUGUUGAUGCAUGACCAUUUGAAGAAUGGUUUGAUAAACUACCCUUCUGUAAUCUGUAGUCAGUAGAACUCUUCCCGACUAAUCCUAGUUGUCCCCAAAAACAAUUUUUGUGGGAGAGAAAAUAGAUUAGAGUUCGUAGUUCAUACUUACCUUUAUACAAGAGAUUGUGCUAUACUCUAGGCGCUUAAACGUUUUCGUGAAUCUAGCUGAAACGAAAUGAUUCAUUUCAAUUUAGAGCAACCGAAAAAGCGAAGAAUUAAUUUGUUGCUCCUAUUCUUCUUCGAAUAUCCUCAUGUUUUUGGUGAGUCAUUAUUGCCAUAUUUGGUGCUGAAGAUAAUUCUUUAAAUGAAUACAUAUAGCCUCUCUUUAAAUGCUUAGCUUUUAAUCGAGAUACUUCAACAUAACAUCGUAACUAAGCAAAAGACAUGAGUUCGAGUCUCAUUGCCAACUUUUAAAGGAAAAUUGUGAAUGAUUUAGACAUUGGAUAAAAAAAUGAAUCUGAUCUGCAAGUUAGAUCCAUGCUGAAGACGAGAUUUAAAAGAACAUGUGUGGCUUCUCUUUUAUAGCUUAAGCUUUUAUACAUAAUGGUUCAACAUCUGGCAAUAUUUGUGUUUUUGGAAACUAGCUGCUGGUACAUUUUGCAUCUGAUACUUGGCACAUGGUUUGUUGACAAGUUAUUGACAAAAUAUGGAGUAUCCAGGAUUAAUUUCAUUGUUCUUUGAAUCAUUUCAGGUGGCAAUUUUCUUUUUCUGUAUUCUUGUAUCGUGUUGAUUAAAAUCUAUGUUUUUUGAAUUAUUUGACUCUGUUCUAUAGACCAGAAGCUUGGAAGGUAUUGCUUUUAGUAGUUCUCUACUAUUGUUAUGAGGAUGUACCUGAGUCCUUUACUAAUUUAACAGUGUUACUGAUGGAGAUUCUAAUGGAUAUUUGGAAAGACUUGCCAUAAUUAGACUUGAUUUUAGGCAAAAGAAUAAGACCUAUAUUUUGAUUGAUUUUCGAAUAUUUUGUUUCGUUUCCCUUCCAUAAUCAUUAGGUUAAAUUAGGAAUUUCCCUUCUUCAUUAGGAGUUUUAAGCUUAAAAACUGGGGAUUUUGUAUUAGACAUACUAUUGCUUAUUGAAAUAUUGAAUACAUUGAAAUCUGCUUUUUCCCUCUUUCUCUCUGUGUGCUUCUCUCUCCUUUCUUCAUAUCUAUAUUCUAUGUAUACCUACUAUGCUGCAUUGGUUACUCUUUUUCUGUAACUUGAUCUGUCUUUGGUAUACCAAAUUCUUCAUGAUCAUAGUUAUAGAAAAUCACCUGUUAUAUUCAUUUUCAAAUUUUUUGAAGUGUGGACGAAUGUAGUAGUUAGUCUUUUUUUUUUUUAUGGCAUACCAAAUUCUCUAUUGAUCUGAAUUUAUUAAUUUUUUCCAAUAAAUGAAAAUUUUUGAUGACCAUGUGCUAACUUGUUUCACAUACAACAAUGUGGCACUCUAAAUUGAUUAAGUAUGAUAUCAAAUGUCGUCUUCGUAAAAUGGAAGUUCUUGUACUCUGAUACACAACAAUGGGGCAUUUUAAAUUGAUGAAGUAUGAUAUCAAAUGUCAUCUUCUUAGAAUGGAGAAGUUCUUGUACUCUAAACUCUGCUUUAAUAGGAUUUUUUCUUUAAGAAGAAGAAGAAAAUGCGCAAAAAAUAUGAGAUAUAUUUGUUUGAAUGACAUCUCAAUGAAUAUUAUGUUGUGUGACUGACAUUUUCUGUUUGCUUCCUUACUUUGAUUUUGUAGUCAUACACUCAGCAAAUUGUAACAGGGGUGCUAUAAACUUUUUGUGCCUUGCACGUGAACUGGAGGCUGUACUAUGGAUGUGGAGUUGGGGACGAAGUUAACAUGAACUCACUUGGGAAGUGCUUAAAUGUAAGUUCUAGUUACUUUUAGUUAGUUAUGUUGAGGGAUAAAAUCCUUAAACCCUAAAAAUUUCACAUCGAAUAAGGAUGAAAACAUAAACCAAUAAAUGCUUGGGUUACUUCUCUUAAUAAGGUUGAUCUUUUAAGAUGGAACCCUAAGUUUUAAUGAGUUAUUUAGUGCAUGUUUGGCAAAGUUUAAAAUUUGAAUUGGUCAAACAUAUUUUUAUCCACAUAUUUCAUGGGACCCACAACUUAUUACCACCUAUUAUCACACACAUUCCGUGGGUUACAAGCACUUAAAAGUACUACCAAGCAAGCACAACCUAACAUGAUUUUCAUAAUUGCUUCUUUUACUAACAAAAUUUACUAUUCUGAAAAGUGGGCUUUAACUUACCUUCCGGAAAAAGUAACUUUUAAGCAACAAGAAGCGUGCUCAAGUCAAAUUUUGCUAUUUGAUUCUUAGCUUCUAAUUUGCCUUUCCAGAAAUAUUACCACAUUAUUUUGAGUUUCUUCUCUGAUGUGAAUUCCAUCAAUUUCAGUAAACAGUCCUGGUAUGCUGUUGCAAAUUACAGGGUACUAAUAAAAAUCGAACAAGGAAAUCGACGAGACUGGAGCACAAUCUAGAGAUUAGCAAUUAAAGCUCAAGUAUCAUCUACUAUUGCUUUCUGCUAAAAGGUUUGUAUUUUCUUCCCUAGUUAUUGUUUUCAUUAUCAUUUUCAAAUAUUUAUGAUGAAACCAUGAUGCUAUGAAUGUAACUUGAUUUGCAUGUCCUGAAUUUUCUCGAAGUGACGUAGAAGAGGUUUUGUAAAGGUGUGUUAUUGGAUAAUGUUUGAUAAUUGGAAAUAAGGGUUGAAGUGUCUGUCUGGAAUCAUUCCUAGUUAUGGACAGUGGUCUCGUUAAUUGUGUUUUAUGCUUUUGUUUAGAAGGCAAGAAUCAUAUAUUUUUCCUUGUACAUGCCUGGAUAUUGAGAAGGCUGUAUUUGCAAGUUUUUUCAUGUUAGUUUUGGUGGGGUUUAGAAUUACUUAAAAACUGUUGGGAAAGUAAGGAAGGACAAGGUGAAAAAUGAGACGUAAAUUACACGAGCACUUAAAUUUCUUGUUAUAAAGUAAAGAACUAUGGAACAUUUAGGGAUUGCUUCAUUCGACUCAACUCUGCAGAAACCAAAUAAAAAAGCUACGAACUUUGGGAUACAAAUUUCAAACUUCUCAUUUAUGUUCCUUCUUUUGGUUCUAGACAUCUUUCAUAUUAUUAAGUCAGUCGUGAUCACUGAACACGGAUGCUGUUAUUUCUAUAAACUGACUUAUUUUAUCUUUCGUUUAAACUCAGGUAUGGAUUCAACAUCUCUUUGCAUAUCUACUUGACUCGAGAAAACGUUCUUUGUUGUGUUAUAUUCUGUUAGGAGGAAAAAUAUUGUUCAAUGUACCAUAGAAAGGAUCAUACUGUGGAUAUGAUUUUCCUGGCUCAUGAUUUCAACGAAAGCUCUUAGAUUUGUGGGUUUGUACGCAUUGUGUUGUAUUUUUGCUUUUGGAUAUAAAUGAA